Misgurnus anguillicaudatus (oriental weatherfish) is the source of this 562-nucleotide long non-coding RNA. RefSeq lists it as uncharacterized. The record is from RefSeq and is a predicted model, not a curated record. Lineage: Eukaryota; Metazoa; Chordata; Actinopteri; Cypriniformes; Cobitidae.
CAGACAGAUUCAGUUACAGUAAUGUCUCUUAUUACUCUUCUAAGGUAACACCUCACUUAAUAUAAUUGCGAUCUGUUGUGUGGCUCUUGGAUCUCUGAUGGUUGUAACUGCAAUUCUGAUGGUCUGGAUCUACAGGAAACACAAAAACACAAAUCAACAAGUUCAAAGCGGUGAAGGGGAGCUCAUUUAUGCCGAUACAACAUUUCACAAAAGACAAACACUUAAACCGGGAGCUCCAGUAGAGGAUGAUGUGGUGUAUGCAGGAAUCAUGAGUCGAUGAACAAACUUUGAACACUGAGUGAUGCUGAGAAGAUAAAAAAUAUCUGACCACAGUCACAGAUGAGUUCAGAGUAAAAACAGAAGUUCAGAUAGUUCUGGAUCUUUAGUUGUUAUCAGUAGAAACACACAGUUUCUAUAACAAAACCAUUUAAAGUGAUAAUGUUAUUAAAAAACUUACAGGCUUCAUUCAAUGCUUUAUUCUGAUUGGUUAAAAAGAUGUUAUAAUUUCCUCAUAUACAGCAGGGGUGUGAAACGGCCUGCAGGCCAAACAUGGGCCACUACA